This 734-nucleotide ribosomal RNA is filed under the name uncultured Atopobium sp. RNAcentral's name for it is "bacterial SSU rRNA". It matches the Rfam family "Bacterial small subunit ribosomal RNA", at positions 28 to 776 of the family's 1533-position model. The record is from RNAcentral. Lineage: Bacteria; Bacillati; Actinomycetota; Coriobacteriia; Coriobacteriales; Atopobiaceae.
GAUGAACGCUGGCGGCGCGCUAACACAUGCAAGUCGAACGAUUAAAGCACCUUCGGGUGUGUAUAAAGUGGCGAACGGCUGAGUAACACGUGGGCAACCUGCCCCUCUCAUUGGGAUAGCCACGGGAAACCGCGGAUAAUACCGAAUACUUCGAGACUUCCGCAUGAAAGACUCGAGAAAGCUCCGGCGGAGAGGGAUGGGCCCGCGGCCUAUUAGCUUGUUGGUGGGGUAACGGCCUACCAAGGCAAUGAUGGGUAGCUGGGUUGAGAGACCGACCAGCCAGAUUGGGACUGAGACACGGCCCAGACUCCUACGGGAGGCAGCAGUGGGGAAUCUUGCACAAUGGGCGAAAGCCUGAUGCAGCGACGCCGCGUGCGGGAUGAAGGCCUUCGGGUUGUAAACCGCUUUCAGCAGGGACGAGGCGAAAGUGACGGUACCUGCAGAAGAAGCCCCGGCUAACUACGUGCCAGCAGCCGCGGUAAUACGUAGGGGGCAAGCGUUAUCCGGAUUCAUUGGGCGUAAAGCGCUCGUAGGCGGUCUGUUAGGUCGGGAGUUAAAUCCGGGGGCUCAACCCCCGUUCGCUCCCGAUACCGGCAGACUUGAGUUUGGUAGGGGAAGGUGGAAUUCCUAGUGUAGCGGUGGAAUGCGCAGAUAUUAGGAAGAACACCAGUGGCGAAGGCGGCCUUCUGGGCCAUAACUGACGCUGAGGAGCGAAAGCUAGGGGAGCAAACAGG